This is a long non-coding RNA of Seriola aureovittata, 882 nucleotides long. RefSeq lists it as uncharacterized. The record is from RefSeq and is a predicted model, not a curated record. Lineage: Eukaryota; Metazoa; Chordata; Actinopteri; Carangiformes; Carangidae. The transcript is spliced from 2 exons.
GUCCGUGCAUGAAGUAUAAUUUUUGUGCAGUUGUAUGUUGUUGUAUGUUGUACGCUGUUAACUCUUUGUGUGUGAUAAUGUCCCAUUAAAUGAAGACGUGCAAUUCAAUUAAGCGCAUCAAAGCAUGAGUUUGUUCCAUUAUCCAACUUGUACCAUAAAAAUUGAACAAGGAUGUCGAGAACCGGAAACAGAAACAGCUCGCCUUCAAAGCAUAUACUAUAUAUAAAAAUGGAGGUCGACUCUGGGUCUGGAAAAUAAAGCCAACGCGGAAGUGCUAAUAUUCUAUAGAAGCAGAGUGUUUUUUGGGCGUGGCUACUGCGUGAUUGAUAGAUAACACAGGGGGACCUGCCUGUUAAUCCGGAUAUGACGUCAGAGCGAUGUGUUGUUGUGUUUUCAGUUGAUCAAAGUUAGCUCCAACAUGUUGUUUACCUGAAAAUGUCUUGUUCAGCGUUCAGUUGUUGUCAAAGAAACUCAGAGGAGUCGAAGGUUCAUAUUUUUCCACUCUGUGUUUGGUCUCCACCAGCUCCUGAGGGAAAUCUGUGUCUUUAGCUUCUUAAUGCUGCACUAUGUUCAGCAGCUGCUCUCGGACCGAGUCUCUGCUGUUUGCUGCUGAGGAGGUCGAGGACAGAGGCUACGGCCCAAGAAGUUUAUAUAUUCAAAGAUGACAAAGACUUUUACUGAACUGUUCUUUUUUCUUUUCUGUUAAUUUUAUUCUUAAAUUGCAUUCACCAUGUCCUUAAGAAGGUCUGAAAAGCUCUUCAACACCAAGAGAGAGAGUUAAAAUGAGCGCAGUGCAAAGACUGGACACUGACUGUUUUAAUGUGUUUUAUUAAGAGUUGCUGUAUAUUGGGUAAACUUUAAAUAAAGGGCUGAUUUGUUUUA